UGGCAUAUCACUUUGACUUUUUAGUAGU
RNAcentral lists this non-coding RNA (28 nucleotides) under Rattus norvegicus (Norway rat). Lineage: Eukaryota; Metazoa; Chordata; Mammalia; Rodentia; Muridae. The record is from RNAcentral.